The sequence is a transfer RNA, 88 nucleotides long. It matches the Rfam family "tRNA". From Rfam's summary of the family: Transfer RNA (tRNA) molecules are approximately 80 nucleotides in length. Their secondary structure includes four short double-helical elements and three loops (D, anti-codon, and T loops). The record is from Rfam.
GGGGUGAUAGCUCAGUUGGGAGAGCGUACGACUGAAGUUACUCAGUCACCUAAUCGUAAGGUCGCUGGUUCGAUCCCGGCUCACCCCA